Molecule: long non-coding RNA, 750 nt
Organism: Haliotis rubra (blacklip abalone)
Lineage: Eukaryota; Metazoa; Mollusca; Gastropoda; Lepetellida; Haliotidae
Exons: 2
Source: RefSeq, a predicted model, not a curated record
ACCGCUCGGGUCACAUACCAAUCAUUUUAAGCACAUUUUUGGUGUGAUUUUGUUACGGGUACGGGACAACUGAGUUGACCUGCACGUGACAUCAUCUGGUGCUGGCUCGAGUGAUAGUGAUGAAAUCGUCAUGGCUAUUUUCGGAGCUUAUUUAGAGUAGCUAUCAGUUGUUUUAGUCAACUCCAGGAUUGAAAACAGUAAACACAUAACAAGUUGAUGUGAAGAAUAUGAAGCUCCAGUUAUGAAUGCGCCUGGUGUUCACGGUGUUUAUCAGUUCACAAACAUACACACGGAAGAGCAGUGACGGUUGAAGCUAUCAAUGGAAUGUACCCCACUGGUAGGUGAGAAAGGCAAAUCGCACAGGGAGGAGACUACAAGAUCAGGUUGACAUGCAGUCGAAAGAAGAUAGAAAUGAGUUUGCCACAACUUCGGAAAAACACUCAUGGCUGCAGGAGACUACCCCUUUCCUGUAGGUGUGGCUGGCGCUUCGACUUGACAUCACGUGGGAUCGAGCCAUCUCCACAAAGUCAUCCUAUAGGGUAGUCAUGGAACUGGUCACUCACUCACAGUCUGGCAGGUUCAGAAGUACUGAUGGUUCUACAUGCAACACAUCCCGACAGACGGCAGUAAACCGAUUUGUUUUGUCUAUUUGUAGUUUGGUCAGUCUGAGAAACCGACGUACAAAAAUUAUCCAUUUGUUGUGGCCUUAUAUGAUACAUAUACGAAUAUAGAGACACACCAGGAAUGGUA